UAGGGCUGGGAUAGGGGGCAGCCAACAUUUUUUUGCUUGGGAUGGCAAAAAACCUAGAGCCGGCCCUGUCUGUGAUUGCGUAGGUGUACAAUGUACAUUCAAAUUAGAAAUGGAAUCACAUGUCCAUUUUUAAACAGAGUUCUAGAAAGCUGUCAUUUUAUAGUUUGGCCAAUUUCUGAAUGAAAUAUGGUGGAUUUGACUUUUUAACUUUUUCUUGAAAAAUAAUGUAACUCCAAUCAAUCCAGAUACAAAAUUUAUACUAAGCUGCCUCAAACUAGCCACAAUGUUUGCUUCUUACCUUCUCGAAUUAUAUUUACAAUGAAAGCACCAAUAGACCCUGAAAUAUGAGGGUACAAAUGAAAAACUGUGCUGAUAUUUAAAUUUUCCCUUUAACUCCAAGAAAACCAUACUUCAUUUUUGCAAAAUGAGACUUUUUUGCAUAUCAAGAUUUCUGAUACAAAAGAGAUGUCACCUUAUUUGGGAAAGUUAAUUUUUACUAAAUCUCAAAAUUAAUGUUGCAAUAUAACUGAUGAGUAAGUAGCAUAAUGAUGCAUCAAUUUCUCUGCUUUUAAAAACAGAUUUAUUUGGUGUUAAAAAGCCAGUGCAUAAUAUGUACAUGCACUCAUGCUGCAUAAAAGAUGAAGAUUUCCUGAUCUGAAAUAGUUUUGCACUUUUUUCCCAGUGACAAAUGUUUAGUUAGCCAUUCCAAGAACCAACGAGGAUGGCUGCAGUCUUCGGAGACAUUUUAAGCGGUUGAUGUACAGGGUUGGUUGUGGCAGCCAGCCCAAAUCAAGGAGCUGUGAUGUCAUGCAGGGCAGCAGCAUGGUCUGGGCAGUUGGACUCCAGGUCUACAGAGAGUUUGGAUCCCUGGAUCUAUUUCUGAAGCUGUAUCUUCAUACCUCAAAGUCAACCCAUCCCAGAAAAUAAAUAAACGUUUUGUUACACAUUGAGAUUGGAGUUCAUAAGGUGAGUGUUCCAUUCAUCAGAAGGACUUUUCUAGUCUGAUAUUAGCCACCACACACAUAUGGAGGCCAAAGACAACAGCAACAGAUCAAACCCCUUUGAGCUGGACAUAAUGCUUGAAAUCAGUUUUGAUCCUAUGCACCACAUUAUCAUUUAUCACAGUGUCUAAAAGUUUGCUGCCUAAACCUGAGUAGUCUAUUAUUACAUUAGGAUCCAGGGCCAGAUUUUGAAGGCGAUUACUGUGGAAUAUAUAGACAACUUUUACGGACAUUGACGGAAUUAUUCAGUGUUUGGACCCCUUUAUUCCACUUAAAUAAACACAAGGAAUUAAAGGUGUUAACAUGACCCUGAAAUUGUCCAACAUUAAACAGUAGCAAUCCCAUUUUCAAGAAAACAAAACAGAUCAAACGCACACAAAAGAAAAGAACAGCGAAGGUAGAAAAUGCAGUUUCUGUUUCUGGUGUUGACUCUUACUUGCAACCUUGCUGCUGGAGACACAGGCACAGCAUAGUCUUAUCAGCCAUUCUGGAUCCAUUCACACAGCAAAAAAAAAAAAGGCAACACCCAGAACCAAUCUCAGUUGACUGGGGCUCAUAGGGCUCACACUGUGGGGCUAAAAAUGGCCAUGUAGAUAUCUGGGCUCUGGCUAGAGUCUAGGUUUCAGCAAACACCUACACGGCUAUUUUUAGCCCCAUAGUGUAAGCCCAAGUCAGUUGACCUGUGCUCUGAGAUGUGCUGCCACAGGUCUUUUUGCUGUUUUGUUUUGUUGGCAAACUUGUACCAAGAUCAACGGUGGAGAUGUGAGGAAAGAAGGCAGAAAUAUAGGAAGUAAGUGUGGGGGAGAGAGAAGUUACUAAAGGGAAGCAGGAGGAGCUGCUGAGAGACAGUGAGAAAAGAAAAGGUUUCUGAGGAAAAGCAGGAGGGGCUGUUCAGAGUUGGAGGAACCGCUGGGGGAGGACUUUUAUGAGUCAGAGUUUGGCAGCCUCACUGGAUUCCGUUGUGAAGCAUGUAAAUAUUAAUUCAGCAGGGACUACAUUUGGAUUAGGUUAGCGGCUAGCGCUGUGGCAGAAAGCAAUUCCAUCACAGUAUGAACAGUGCUGAGAACUGCAGAUUAGACCAGAGUUAAGACUGAGGCAGCAAACAAUAGAAGGAAGGAAGCGCACAGUUAAAGAGGGGGCCACACUUGCAGAACCAGAACAUUUCUAUGGAGAGCAGUUUACUGGGACAGACAUUUUGUGUGGUACCUUUGAUAUUACAAUAACGCUGGGUUAAUAAGAGAUUUGUCCUCUCGAUCCAGCUUCUCCUUUUGCCUGCUUCUACAGAAAACUCCUAAGAUUUUGUGACAUCAUCUUGUCACCAUGUGAAUGCAGGAUGUUUCUGGCCAGAUUCUGAAUUUGAAUGCAUUCGUUUCAAUGGCAGCCCCAUGCACAGAGGAAAGAAUACAUUUUGGUGAUGUGACUUCACUUUAGGAUCAAAGAGGAAGCAAAAAUGGGAUGAAUGGCUCAAGUCCUUCUUAAAAUUCAAAUAUAUUUGAUAAGUGGGGAAAAAGCACAUGGGAUAGCUAUGAAACGUGUGCAAGUAGAAUAUAUGUUUACGUGCUCCAUGCUGUGAAACCUGUUCCUCUAUGCAAUUUUUGUGCUUUAUGCUUAGCAGAGGUUAGCGAGGGACAAAUAUUCCCCUCCCGCACACCACAUAAGCUAUGGAGCAACAGCAGAAUUGUUCUGUGGUCAUUAUUGCAAACUGACAGUACAACAGGACCCAUAGACCCUGCACUCCUUUGCUAACAUUUUAACAGAACUAGAUGAGACCGCGGUCAAAAUGUCUACUCCUGGUCUACAGCAGAGCUUAUAUUAUUGGUAGCACUGACGCAGCUACUCUUUUGUUUAAAAAAAAUGGGAAAGGGAUGACCUACUGUACAUCAACCCUCUGCCUACUCUUUUGGGUUGGGGGGGUCGUUGUGCUGCAGUCAAUGCAAAGUGUUUCAUAUUCAGCUGUGAACUGCCUUGUUUUUCUUAUUUUCUAUUGCAAGAUUAAUGUUCCCCAGUGUAGUUCAUUUUGAGUGAUUAUUUGCAUACAUGUCAGAGAAGUCCUUCAGUGAGAUUCCUGUGAUGGCUGCCAGAAUCUGACUCACCACAAUGACACUUAAUUCUCCAUGAUAGUCCUCAUUUAAGGUCUCAGAGCUUUUUUAAUUAAAAAGUUUAAUUCUUAGAACAGCCUCUUGCUGGCAAGUGUGUGACAGUGACAGGAAUAAAACCCUGGAGUCCUGACCUCCAGCCAAGAGUGUAAACGCUAUUGUGUUAUCCGAGCUCAGCAAACAUGGGCAGAAAUUGAAACAACCAAUGUGUAUUUAGGGUCUUUUUUUUAGAAUACAAUUCUAUUCUAUCUAGGUUUUUAAACCGAAUUAUCAUCUUAGUAUCUGAAUAUCUGUGGCAGUGAGGCCAGGUUUUGUGCUAGAGUGAAGCUAUUUAUUUAAACAUAUUUUGUGUUUAAAAAAAAAUACCUUCAAAAAAUUAACAUUUGAGUUGUUAGAGCAGAUGGUAGGAAAUUCUCGUGUGCUUGUUCUGGAGUUCCUCUGAAAUAAUGAAAUAUUCAAGGAGAAUGUUGAAUGGAGUGGUCAGGACUUAAGAAAAGCCACUGUAGGAUAUAGGGUGGGUUGGUUCUGAACAAGGUCAGGAGUUCCAGGGCUGUAGGAACAGAGGCAGUGGUGAGAGCAGGAGAACAGGACUGCGGAUUUGAUUGGUUUGGAGGUUUAUUAAGCCAAUAGCAAACGGGGUCACAAGUAGGCUCAUGUCUCCUUACCUUGCUACCCCAGGCAACACACUUGCAAUGAUACAAAAUUCAAAUUCCACUGAAUCAUUUGGAUUCUGAUUAGAUUUCUGUGAAGAGGGUCUUUGAACUGGAUUACUUUGAACUGAACACUCCGUUGAAAUGAAUAAGGGAAAUUCGUGUCUUGGGGCUUGGUCCUGAAAUCAGCUGCCAGGCUCCCAUUUGACUUUAAACCAUUGGACAUCAGUUUAUAUUUUCAAGGUUCAUUGCAGCUAGAAAGGCUAUAAAUAUAUUUUAAAUUAAAGUUUAUUUUAUUCUGUAGAAUUAUUCUACACAAUACCCCUAAUUCUCCAAUAACCUUGAAGGACCUUGUUUCCUUGUGCUCCCCAUCUACCUGUCUGUAUCCAUUUGUCUCUUGUCUUUAAGUGUCAGCUUUUUGGGGCAGGGACCAUCUUUUUGUUCUGCAUCUGUACAUUGCCUGGUACAAUGGGGUACCGGUCAAUGACUGGGGUCUUAGGAGCUUACCCAAUACAAAUAAUAAAUAACAAUAAUAAGGAACCAUAUCCAUGAUCAAGAGCUGGUGUGCAAGUCCACUCCUUUUUCUUUCACACGCUGGACUGGGUAAUGAACCACUCAUCUAAACAACUGAAUCGCAAGACGCUGUGUGAGACCCUGAUAUCCUGAUAUUAAUCCUGAUGUUUAGACCAACUCCUCCAAAGCUAAUCUGCUGGGGAAUAAAUGCCAGGCAUACGGUUGUUGGGAGAAUGUAAAGUACUUGCCAGAGUUCUGAUGGGCAUAAAUCCAGACCACAGAUGGUAUUAUAUUGCCUUUGAAGAGAACAAAAAUCCUUUCAAAGGCUAUACAGCUAGACUUGAUUUAGAUUUAGACAUCCACUUUAUUUAAAAUCGGCCAUGCUAUGAGAAAGCAAUAUAAGCCUAUUCAUAAUUGCACGCUUACAGUUUGAUUUUGGCAGGCCAAAUACUAUAGCUGGAUUUUAUGAAGGAUUAAAAAAGCUGGUGUAGAUAGCCUAUUCAAACCCUCUCAGUCUGAAAUGGAGCAAUAACUUAACAUUUUCAAAGAAGGGAGCAUAUUAUGACAGGUGCUUACUGGUCUUUCACAAGGACCUUUUUAUGUUUCUACUGGUGUCCGUCAACCUCUGAGAGAGAUUGGUUUAUCAAAGCCACAACUAACUGCUGCUAUGUAGCAAACUCAUAGCACAGCAAGUUGUGUAGCAAUCAGUGAUCCACAGUUCCUUUCUUCUCAAAGGAAACUGUCAAUCAUAAACAUUUCUGUUUGCGUCCUUUACUACUACUGCUGCAUUGGGCGGGAUGGGGUAAAAUGGGGCCGAGCUGGGGCUGCCCUCUGAUCCAGCACUCUUCAGACCCAGAACUGUGUAGGGGAGACCCCCUCUGGGAUACCAGAAACCAUAUGAUAUCCACCUUCUCCCCUGCCAUGUGGCCUUUUGGAAAGACACUGCCUGAAGCUGGCACAGCAGGUGAAGAAAGCAGUGCAAGCAGGUUCCAAUGGACACUGGUGAUCUCAUCAGGGUGCUUUCUGCAACGUUAACUCAGAACACUCUCUCACGCCUGUGCUGCUUGGCAGUUUACUCCAGUCCUUCCUGUCUCCUCCUCCACAGUCUCCAGUCCCCUCCUUUCCUUCCCCCUUUCUAGCUAAUCCCCUCCUGGCAUAACCACACUGAAAGAAUUUAAAUAACCAAACCAACCAACCUGACAUUUGGAGCUUAGUCCUGGAUUUAUGAGCCUAUUGAGCCAUCACAUUGUUCAUAUUGCUUGUAUGGUCUAUCCAUUUCUCCUACCUUGAAUCCGUCUUGUCUAGUUAGAAGGUAAGAUUUGGGGGCAGAGGCUGUCUCUUAGUGUCCCUAGCACAAUGAGGCUCUAUUCUUGGUUGACCCCUAAGCUCUACUGUAAUAAGUAUGAUGAACAAUGAAAAAUAAUUUAUGAUGUCCAUAGGCAUUUAAAAUAUAAUUUCUUAUCUUUUACCUUACAGGCCACAACUUCCCUCCUUUUGUUGAGGAUUUUGGCAAACUUUGGGGAACCAGGAUGGUGACAUCAUAACUUGAGGCUGAAACCUGAGCUACAGCUCUCCGAACGCCCAGCUGAUGGGCAGAGGGGAUGCUGUGUGGGGAAGGUGUUUGUCUAAAACCGAGCAUUCUCUUCAUAUCAUUUUAGGGCAGUGAUACGCAGACCUCACCAGUUCAGGAGCCAAAUUGGCGAUCAACAUUACCCAAAAGAGCCACAGUUGUGUGACUUCAUUGUUUCAUUUACUAUAAUACUAUUCAUAUUUAAACAGUAUGAUGGGAAAUAUUUAGUUUAUAAUAUAUAUUAUUCUCACAGCAUAUAUGUUAAUAACUUAGUGCAAAUUGAUAACUUAAUUGGGUAAUAACAUAGUAAAAGCAUCCUGAUCGGUUAAUAAUGUUAAUAUCAUUUGCUGCAAAGAGUUGCAGGAGACACAUUAAAGAGGCACCUGUGGUUCAGGUGCCUCAGUCUGAGUAUCACUGAUUUAGGGGCUAGGAAAUAUGUAGUUCAGGUACCAAUUGCAAGUUAUGAUGUCUCCAUUCAAAUACAGAUAAACAGACUGCAACUCAGGAUCUACCUCACUGUGCUGCUGCUAUUGCUGUUUUCUUUAAAAUAAAUCAUGUGUUAAAACUUGUCAGUCAAAAAUAAUUAAAAAAAUCUUUAAGAACAUGCUAAAUUUACAUUGUUACUAUCAAAUCAAAAUUUCUUGCUGCUGGUUUUUCACAUGUUGCUAACUUACACUUAUUUUCUUUUCUCUUCUUUUUAAACAAGUCGCAUUUCUGCAAGAUUUGUGCUACGUAACUUUCCUAUGUCCUAUAGGCUGAGUGAUGAACCAGUACAAUUUUCAUUUACUUGUGAGAAACUCAGUUUGACAUGGAGGUACAAAAGUGCUUCUGAAAAGAGAAUGGGGAAUUCUGAAACCUCUGCUGAGAAACAAAAGCAGAAACUAAUUUUUCUUGGUCUGAGGAUCACAAAGUGCUUUGCCAAUAUUAAUGAAUUGAAUUUUAUAGCAUCCUAAGGUAGGUAUUAUCCUCAUUUUGCAAAUAGGAGACACUGAGACACACAGAGUAAGUGACUUGCCAAAGGUCACACAGGAAGUCUGAGUCAGAACUGAAAAUAGAAUCCAGGAGUCCUGACUUUCAGUCUUGUGCUUUAACCACAUCCAUAAUCCAUAUCCAUAAUCUAAUUGUACAAGCCACUAUUCAAAUAUCAAAUGAGACACAGCAUUUAUAUGAAUGGGCAAGGAGGUAAGAUGUUUGGUCAGAAGAUAGACUAGGAGAGUGGACCACUGCAGUGGUGCCAAAGUUUGGUAACAAUAUGUACUGAUGGGGAACAGGCUGAGUGAACUGGCUGUGGCAGUAAAGAUAUGAAAAAUUAUGUUCCAAAAUUCUCUCACUUUCCUAGACAUUAAUUAUAUGUAACCCUGAAAUAUACACUGGGCCAGAUCAGGGCCGGCUUCAGGGUUUUGGCCGCCUCAAGCAGCCAAAAAAAAAAAA
Chrysemys picta bellii (western painted turtle) is the source of this 7261-nucleotide non-coding RNA. The record is from RefSeq and is a predicted model, not a curated record. NCBI's taxonomy places the organism in Eukaryota, Metazoa, Chordata, Testudines, Emydidae.